RNAcentral lists this transfer RNA (72 nucleotides) under Lachnospiraceae bacterium. Its description in RNAcentral is "tRNA-Arg". It matches the Rfam family "tRNA". From Rfam's summary of the family: Transfer RNA (tRNA) molecules are approximately 80 nucleotides in length. Lineage: Bacteria; Bacillati; Bacillota; Clostridia; Lachnospirales; Lachnospiraceae. The record is from RNAcentral.
GCUUCCAUAGUUAAAUGGAUAUAACAAGCCCCUCCUAAGGGCUAGUUGCAGGUUCGAUUCCUGCUGGGAGCA